GACGAACGCUGGCGGCGUGCCUAAUACAUGCAAGUAGAACGCUGAGGAGAGGAGCUUACUCUUCUUGGAUGAGUUGCGAACGGGUGAGUAACGCGUAGGUAACCUGCCUUGUAGCGGGGGAUAACUAUUGGAAACGAUAGCUAAUACCGCAUAACAAUGGAUGACACAUGUCAUUUAUUUGAAAGGGGCAAUUGCUCCACUACAAGAUGGACUUGCGUUGUAUUAGCUAGUAGGUGAGGUAAUGGCUCACCUAGGCGACGAUACAUAGCCGACCUGAGAGGGUGAUCGGCCACACUGGGACUGAGACACGGCCCAGACUCCUACGGGAGGCAGCAGUAGGGAAUCUUCGGCAAUGGGGGCAACCCUGACCGAGCAACGCCGCGUGAGUGAAGAAGGUUUUCGGAUCGUAAAGCUCUGUUGUAAGUCAAGAACGGGUGUGAGAGUGGAAAGUUCACACUGUGACGGUAGCUUACCAGAAAGGGACGGCUAACUACGUG
Molecule: ribosomal RNA, 497 nt
Filed under: uncultured bacterium
Lineage: Bacteria
Description: partial 16S ribosomal RNA
Rfam family: Bacterial small subunit ribosomal RNA
Source: RNAcentral